CUCUUCAAACCCAACAGACCAAACCAUUUUUUUGCUCUUGUGCUCUCGUAGCGCUGCCCACCCGGAGCGAACCAAUAACCAAAAAGAAGGGAGUAGGUCCCGCGUCAGCGAGACCAAACCCGAGGCCAUUUUUUUCCAUUGCACAAAACAUUCCGUGCGCGCGCGUCCCAUGGCCUCUCUCCCUCUUUCUCUCCUUUUUGGUGGCCAAAGGAAAAGCGCAGGAUGCACGCGCGAGUACACAGAGAUGGGCGCAGGUGUCUCUGAUUUCCUUGUCAUAAGGCCAACAAAAAAGAGGAGAUAAAAAACACAAGGCCCUAAAGAAUGACGAGGAGAAGAGGGAGGCCAUCGAUGCGAUCGCGCACUAGGGUCGCGCCGCGUAGCGUCUCAAUCCCGUGCUGUGGCCCGAUUCGACCAUGGCCCACAGCGCCUCGCGCGACACGAGCCUAUCGGUGGGCACCCAAUAGGCGCUGCCGUCCCUGGAGAGGUAGCGAGGGUCAAAGACGACGCCGGCCGGGACAAACCCUUCAAAGCGCAGCACGGGCGCCGGCAGGUCGGGCGAAUCGAGCGGCUUGCCCGCCUCAUAGUUGACAUAGACAAAGAGCGCGUAGAGGUCGGGCCGAUUGGCGCCCUUGCGCGCACCGACGCGCAGUUUGCCCGUGUCGGCGUUGCUCACUUUGACGUCGAUUCUCCACAUCUCGGGGCGCAAGGUGCCGUCAAAUCCCUUUUCGGUGAGGCCGCUGCGACACGACGGCUCCAAAAGCGGUUUCAUAGACAUGCCAAAGAGGCGCGCCAGCAUAAACUCGCCAAAGUAGCCUUGGAUGGAGAUGUCGGCCGACGUGCGAUUGACCGCCUCGCGGCGGUCCACGACCUUUGCGGCGCGAUUCUGACGAUAGGCCUCGAGGCCGCUCGCUACCGACGCCUUGAGGUGUGCGUCGGUCGUGACGUGGAGGCUGCCCAGGGGCACACGCGUCGCGCCACCCGUAUCGCAGCGAGCCACGGGCGAGGGCGCGGCGGCUGUCGAGAGACGCGGACGCGCUGUGCUGUGCGCGAUCCAACGCGCACGACGGCAAGGCGCAACGCACUUGCCGCUGUUGACGGACGACAUGGACAGGUGUCGGCAACGGUCGAGCAGACGCGUCCUUUUCUCCUGAGCGAUGCUCGUGCACGCUGUCUUUUGCAUCAUCGCCGCGUGUUCGUGCGUGCGUAUGCGAGGCAACGAUGGUUUUGUUGUAUCGGCGGCAACGGCGGUGGCAAACACAGGCGCCGGUGUUGUUGGGAUGGCAAAAAGACUGUGCCUUUUUCCCGAG
RNAcentral lists this long non-coding RNA (1307 nucleotides) under Pandoravirus neocaledonia. RNAcentral's name for it is "hypothetical ncRNA". The record is from RNAcentral.